GAGUAAAGGUUCCAGGAUGACUGUGCUCAUACCAAAUACUAACUUCUUCAAAGAAAUGAAAGUAUAAAAACUACAUGUUGGAUUAAAAAAAUUAGCUAACUCCACCUCAUUAGCUCACAAUAGUGCCCAAAGUCCAAUUUUUAGAUUCAGACACUGAACCAAGAUAUGUAUUAUACUCAAUUAAAUGCACAUACAAAUCGCUUUUUGUAAUUCUAGAUGCAGAAAGGACCUACAAUUCAUCGGACUUUCAUCCUAAGUCACCUAAUCAUCCAAGAGUGAAGCAAAUGAAAGGCAUGAAUCAUCAAAGAAAGACAUGAAUCAUGCAAAAUAGAGACAAUUAGCGGAAUAAAGAGU
Molecule: long non-coding RNA, 354 nt
Filed under: Phoenix dactylifera (date palm)
Lineage: Eukaryota; Viridiplantae; Streptophyta; Magnoliopsida; Arecales; Arecaceae
Description: long non-coding RNA (PDAC_LNC006294)
Source: RNAcentral